This 508-nucleotide ribosomal RNA is filed under the name uncultured bacterium. Its description in RNAcentral is "partial 16S ribosomal RNA". It matches the Rfam family "Bacterial small subunit ribosomal RNA", at positions 30 to 523 of the family's 1533-position model. The record is from RNAcentral.
AUUGAACGCUGGCGGCAUGCCUAACACAUGCAAGUCGAACGGCAGCACAGUAGGUAGCAAUACCUAUGGGUGGCGAGUGGCGGACGGGUGAGUAAUGCUUAGGAAUCUGCCUUGUGGUGGGGGAUAACUAACCGAAAGGUUAGCUAAUACCGCAUACGCCCUUACGGGGAAAGCGGGGGAUCGAAAGACCUCGCGCCAUUAGAUGAGCCUAAGUCCGAUUAGCUAGUUGGUAGGGUAAAGGCCUACCAAGGCGACGAUCGGUAGCUGGUCUGAGAGGACGGCCAGCCACACUGGAACUGAGACACGGUCCAGACUCCUACGGGAGGCAGCAGUGGGGAAUAUUGGACAAUGGGGGAAACCCUGAUCCAGCAAUGCCGCGUGUGUGAAGAAGGCCUGCGGGUUGUAAAGCACUUUCGGUUGGGAAGAAAAGUUUGGCGCUAAUACCGCCGAACCUUGACGUUACUGACAGAAGAAGCACCGGCUAACUCUGUGCCAGCCGCCGCAGUAA